This 497-nucleotide ribosomal RNA is filed under the name uncultured bacterium. Its description in RNAcentral is "partial 16S ribosomal RNA". It matches the Rfam family "Bacterial small subunit ribosomal RNA", at positions 28 to 507 of the family's 1533-position model. The record is from RNAcentral.
GACGAACGCUGGCGGCGUGUCUAAUACAUGCAAGUUGAGCGAUGAAGAUUGGUGCUUGCACCAAUUUGAAGAGCAGCGAACGGGUGAGUAACGCGUGGGGAAUCUGCCUUUGAGCGGGGGACAACAUUUGGAAACGAAUGCUAAUACCGCAUAACAACUUUAAACAUAAGUUUUAAGUUUGAAAGAUGCAAUUGCAUCACUCAAAGAUGAUCCCGCGUUGUAUUAGCUAGUUGGUGAGGUAAAGGCUCACCAAGGCGAUGAUACAUAGCCGACCUGAGAGGGUGAUCGGCCACAUUGGGACUGAGACACGGCCCAAACUCCUACGGGAGGCAGCAGUAGGGAAUCUUCGGCAAUGGACGAAAGUCUGACCGAGCAACGCCGCGUGAGUGAAGAAGGGUUUCGGAUCGUAAAACUCUGUUGGUAGAGAAGAACGUUGGUGAGAGUGGAAAGCUCAUCAAGUGACGGUAACUACCCAGAAAGGGACGGCUAACUACGUG